UGAUAAUUCUGAAAAAAAUAAAGUAUUUCUUAGUUGUUUGCUAACAGCAGAAUAGCAAUCAGUCACCACAGGGUUACUACAAUGGGCAUCAUUAUAUCUGGAUCCUUAUCAAUUUCACUAUAUGGUGGGAAAAUUUUUCUGAGCCUUCAGCUGGUCCUUGCCCAUUCUGGAAGAGUGCUUGGAGGAUCUCUUUCUUCAUGAUUUACAGUCUAAUCAGGUACAGACCUAGAACCAAACCCCUCCCCAAGCCAAACCAGCAGCUCUGGGGAGAAAACCUGCUCCU
This 283-nucleotide long non-coding RNA is filed under the name Zonotrichia albicollis (white-throated sparrow). RNAcentral describes it as "lncRNA (ENSZALG00000011370.1)". Lineage: Eukaryota; Metazoa; Chordata; Aves; Passeriformes; Passerellidae. The record is from RNAcentral.